RNAcentral lists this ribosomal RNA (462 nucleotides) under uncultured bacterium. RNAcentral describes it as "partial 16S ribosomal RNA". It matches the Rfam family "Bacterial small subunit ribosomal RNA", at positions 28 to 507 of the family's 1533-position model. The record is from RNAcentral.
GAUAAACGCUGGCGGCGUGCUUAACACAUGCAAGUCGAACGAAGUGUUUCUUUCGUUGGGAACUUAUUGGCGGACGGGUGAGUAAGGCGUGCGUAAGUUGCCCUGCACAGGGUGACAACUGAUGUAAACGGCCGCGAAUACCUCAUAAGCACUUAGUACUGCAUCGUGCAGAGGGAAAAAGAGCGGUCCGGUAUAGGCUGGACCCGCGUCUGAUUAGCCGGUUGGCAGGGUAACGGCCUAACAAAGCGACGAUCAGUAGCCGAGCUGGGAGGAUGUCCGGCCACAUUGGGGCUGAGACCCAGCCCCGAACCGUACGCAAGGCAGCAGUGUGGAAUAUUGCACACUGGAGGCAGCUCUGAUGCAGCGGCGCCGCGUGAGUGAAGAAGUAUUUCGGUAUGUAAAGCUGUAUCAGCAGGAAAGAAAGUGACGGUACCUGACUAAGAAGCACCGGCUAACUACGUG